UUAGCCCUAAACCCAGAUAAUUUUUUAAACAAAAUUAUUCGCCAGAGUACUACUAGCAAUAGCCUGAAACUCAAAGGACUUGGCGGUGCUUCAUAUCCCUCUAGAGGAGCCUGUCCUAUAAACGAUAAACCCCGAUAGACCUUACCAACCCUAGCUAAUACAGCCUAUAUACCGCCAUCCUCAGCAAACCCUGAUAAAGGAAAUAUAGUAAGCAAGAUUGUUAAAAUACAAAAACGUUAGGUCAAGGUGUAGCUUAUGAGUUGGAAAGAGAUGGGCUACAUUUUCUCAAAACAGAAAAAAAAACGAACAUUCUUAUGAUAUUAAGAGUUAAA
This 332-nucleotide ribosomal RNA is filed under the name Phataginus tricuspis (Tree pangolin). RNAcentral describes it as "partial small subunit ribosomal RNA". Lineage: Eukaryota; Metazoa; Chordata; Mammalia; Pholidota; Manidae. The record is from RNAcentral.